UACAGAGGGUGCGAGCGUUGUCCGGAAUCACUGGGCGUAAAGGGCGCGUAGGUGGUGGCUUAAGCGUGCGGUGAAAGCUCGGGGCUCAACUCCGAGUCGGCCGUGCGAACUGGGCUCACUGGAGCAUAGUAGAGGCAGGUGGAAUUCCGGGUGUAGCGGUGGAAUGCGUAGAGAUCCGGAAGAACACCGGUGGCGAAGGCGGCCUGCUGGGCUAUGGCUGACACUGAAGCGCGACAGCGUGGGGAGCAAACAGG
This 254-nucleotide ribosomal RNA is filed under the name uncultured bacterium. Its description in RNAcentral is "partial 16S ribosomal RNA". It matches the Rfam family "Bacterial small subunit ribosomal RNA", at positions 524 to 776 of the family's 1533-position model. The record is from RNAcentral.